This 475-nucleotide ribosomal RNA is filed under the name uncultured bacterium. Its description in RNAcentral is "bacterial SSU rRNA". It matches the Rfam family "Bacterial small subunit ribosomal RNA", at positions 26 to 518 of the family's 1533-position model. The record is from RNAcentral.
AGGACGAACGCUGGCGGCAUGCCUAACACAUGCAAGUCGAACGGAGUUAAGGAGCUUGCUCUUAAACUUAGUGGCGGACGGGUGAGUAACGCGUGAGCAACUUGCCUCUCGGUGGGGAAUAAUGUACUGAAAAGGACACUAAUACCGCAUAACGUAUCGGGACCGCAUGAUUCUGAUACCAAAGAUUUAUCGCCGAGAGAUGGGCUCGCGUCCGAUUAGCCAGUUGGUGGGGUAACGGCCUACCAAAGCGACGAUCGGUAGCCGGACUGAGAGGUUGAACGGCCACAUUGGGACUGAGACACGGCCCAGACUCCUACGGGAGGCAGCAGUGGGGGAUAUUGCGCAAUGGGGGAAACCCUGACGCAGCAAUGCCGCGUGGAGGAUGAAGGUCUUCGGAUUGUAAACUCCUUUUGUCAGGGACGAAAAUGACGGUACCUGACGAAUAAGCUCCGGCUAACUACGUGCCAGCCGCGGC